RNAcentral lists this ribosomal RNA (474 nucleotides) under uncultured bacterium. Its description in RNAcentral is "bacterial SSU rRNA". It matches the Rfam family "Bacterial small subunit ribosomal RNA", at positions 358 to 821 of the family's 1533-position model. The record is from RNAcentral.
GGNGUUUUGGACAAUGGGCGCAAGCCUUGAUCCAGCCAUGCCGCGUGCAGGAAUGAAGGCCUUCGGGUUGUAAACUGCUUUUGUACGGAACGAAAAGGCCCUGGUGAACAACCGGGGUUGCUGACGGUACCGUAAGNAAUAAGCACCGGCUAACUACGUGCCAGCAGCCGCGGUAAUACGUAGGGUGCGAGCGUUAAUCANAAUUACUGGGCGUAAAGCGUGCGCAGGCGGACAUGCAAGACAGAUGUGAAAUCCCCGGGCUCAACCUGGGAACUGCAUAUGUGACUGUAUGACUGGAGUACGGCAGAGGGGGAUGGGAUUCCGCGUGUAGCAGUGAAAUGCGUAGAUAUGCGGAGGACCACCGAUGGCGAAGGCANUCCCCUGGNCCAGUACUGACGCUCAUGCACNAAAGCGUGGGGAGCAAACAGGAUUAGAUACCCUGGUAGUCCANGGGCGANUUCNAGCACACUGGCG